RNAcentral lists this ribosomal RNA (448 nucleotides) under uncultured bacterium. RNAcentral describes it as "SSU rRNA". It matches the Rfam family "Bacterial small subunit ribosomal RNA", at positions 26 to 518 of the family's 1533-position model. The record is from RNAcentral.
AGAGCGAACGCUGGCGGCAGGCUUAACACAUGCAAGUCGAGCGGGCGUAGCAAUACGUCAGCGGCAGACGGGUGAGUAACGCGUGGGAACAUACCUUUUGGUUCGGAACAACACAGGGAAACUUGUGCUAAUACCGGAUAAGCCCUUACGGGGAAAGAUUUAUCGCCGAAAGAUUGGCCCGCGUCUGAUUAGCUAGUUGGUGAGGUAACGGCUCACCAAGGCGACGAUCAGUAGCUGGUCUGAGAGGAUGAUCAGCAACAUUGGGACUGAGACACGGCCCAAACUCCUACGGGAGGCAGCAGUGGGGAUAUUGGACAAUGGGCGCAAGCCUGAUCCAGCCAUGCCGCGUGAGUGAUGAAGGCCCUAGGGUUGUAAAGCUCUUUUGUGCGGGAAGAUAAUGACGGUACCGACAAGAAUAAGCCCCGGCUAACUUCGUGCCAGCAGCCGC